Molecule: transfer RNA, 71 nt
Filed under: Marmota monax (woodchuck)
Lineage: Eukaryota; Metazoa; Chordata; Mammalia; Rodentia; Sciuridae
Description: tRNA.Ala
Source: RNAcentral
GAGGCUGUGGCUCAGUGGUAGUGUACUUGCCUGGCAUGUAUGAGGCACUGGGUUCAAUUAUCAGCACCACA